RNAcentral lists this long non-coding RNA (430 nucleotides) under Homo sapiens (human). RNAcentral's name for it is "non-protein coding lnc-ZNF689-2:1". The record is from RNAcentral. Lineage: Eukaryota; Metazoa; Chordata; Mammalia; Primates; Hominidae.
UCAGUAUGUCACAAGUAGCAGGACCCCUGGAGAAGCCAAAGGCCCUAUCUGCAGGGCCUGUGGCCAGACAUGGCCUGGGGGCUCCUCAACCAUGAGGUGACAGUGCACUCAGGCUCCAGUGGCUUUGGCUCCCUCCUCUUCCUGGGCAGCCCCUCCAAAUCCACUUGCUGGAGCAGCCCUUCCCUGUAACUGCCCACCCCCUCAAAGCAAGGGUCUGCUCCAGCAUCCGCUCAUUCAUCCACAGAGAUGAGACACCCUGCUGCUGCCCCCAGAGUGGCCACUGUGUUCGAACAAGUGGGGCUCUGGCCACCCACAGGCACACACAUGAGGGAGAAGCCGUAGGCAUGUCUUGACCGUGGGCAGCUCUUUGCCUCCAUCUCACUGUUGGUCCAAUACCAGGAAAUCCACUCUGGUGACCGUCCCCAUGUUU